UGUCCCAGCCGCCGCGGUAAUACGUAGGGUGCAAGCGUUAAUCGGAAUUACUGGGCGUAAAGCGUGCGCAGGCGGUUUUAUAAGACAGAGGUGAAAUCCCCGGGCUCAACUUGGGAACUGCACUUGUGACUGCAAGACUAGAGUGUGUCAGAGGGAGGUAGAAUUCCACGUGUAGCAGUGAAAUGCGUAGAGAUGUGGAGGAAUACCGGUGGCGAAGGCGGCCUCCUGGGAUAACACUGACGCUCAUGUACGAAAGCGUGGGGAGCAAACAGGAUUAGAUACCCUGGUAGUCCACGCCUUAAACGAUGUCUACUAGUUGUCGGGAGAGGAAUCUCUUGGUAACGCAGCUAACGCGUGAAGUAUACCGCCUGGGGAGUACGGUCGCAAGAUUAAAACUCAUAGGAAUUGAC
Molecule: ribosomal RNA, 410 nt
Filed under: uncultured bacterium
Lineage: Bacteria
Description: bacterial SSU rRNA
Rfam family: Bacterial small subunit ribosomal RNA
Source: RNAcentral